This 482-nucleotide ribosomal RNA is filed under the name uncultured bacterium. RNAcentral's name for it is "bacterial SSU rRNA". It matches the Rfam family "Bacterial small subunit ribosomal RNA", at positions 28 to 526 of the family's 1533-position model. The record is from RNAcentral.
GAUGAACGCUGGCGGCGUGCUUAACACAUGCAAGUCGAACGAUUAACCCACCUUCGGGUGGUUAUAGAGUGGCGAACGGGUGAGUAACACGUGACCAACCUACCUUCUACUUUGGGAUAACUCAAAGAAAUUUGAGCUAAUACCAAAUACUCCGAUACCUUCGCAUGUUGGUAUCGGGAAAGUUCCGGCGGUAGAAGAUGGGGUCGCGGCCUAUUAGAUAGUUGGUGGGGUAACGGCCUACCAAGUCAGCGAUAGGUAGCCGGGUUGAGAGACUGAUCGGCCACAUUGGGACUGAGAUACGGCCCAGACUCCUACGGGAGGCAGCAGUGGGGAAUUUUGCGCAAUGGGCGAAAGCCUGACGCAGCAACGCCGCGUGCGGGAUGACGGCCUUCGGGUUGUAAACCGCUUUCAGUAGUGAAGAACCAUGACGGUAGCUACAGAAGAAGCUCCGGCUAACUACGUGCCAGCCGCCGCCGUAACAC